CAAUGCAGUCCGCUGGCUCACUGCCCAAAACCCAGCUCCAGGUUCCACAGCACAGAAAGGGAGGCUGAUAGAUCUGAGGAGCUGCAGGAAGCUGUGAGACAGAAGUGAUCUCCUCCUGGUACGGUGUGAGUGUGUGCAGGGCACAGAAGUGUCACCCUGCAAGUCCUGUGAACCAAAAUGUGGAAGCCCCACCUCAGGUGCCCAGCUCAGCCUCUGAGUGUGAAUCAGCAGAAACAGAGGCCUCCUCAGUCCUCCACCCUCUGCAGCUCCCGGCUCCUCAGCACUGCUUUUUCCCCUCCAGAGUGCACAUUCCUGUGGAAGAACACGCUGCCUCGAGCGACACUGUACUGAGCAGGCACGUCCACUGGCAAGCACGUUCUCUCUGUGUAAUUCUUUCUACCCGGAACUCCACUAAAUAGACCAGGCUGGUCUUGAACUCACAGAGAUCCACUAUGCUCAGCCUCCUGAGUACUAGGAUUAAAGGUGUAUACCACCAUACUUGUAAUACACUAUACUUAAAAGUAAAGACAAUAUGAUAAACAGAAAAUGAAAGACUAGGAGGAUGGGCUGGCCCGAUAGAUCAGCAGAUGUGGGAUACUUACAUCUCUGGCUUGGCAGCCUAAACUCAAUUUCCAGAAUCCAGGUAAAGAAAAGAACUGAUUUCAUUGAGUUGUCCUCUGACCUCCACACACAGUGUCAAAAGCACCCCACCCCCAAGAUGUGCAUAUAAACUCAUUAAA
Molecule: long non-coding RNA, 740 nt
Filed under: Rattus norvegicus (Norway rat)
Lineage: Eukaryota; Metazoa; Chordata; Mammalia; Rodentia; Muridae
Description: long non-coding RNA NONRATT021610
Source: RNAcentral